GUGAACGCUGGCGGUAGGCCUAACACAUGCAAGUCGAACGGCAGCACAGGAGAGCUUGCUCUCUGGGUGGCGAGUGGCGGACGGGUGAGGAAUACAUCGGAAUCUGCCCAGUCGUGGGGGAUAACGUAGGGAAACUUACGCUAAUACCGCAUACGACCUUCGGGUGAAAGAGGGGGAUCGCAAGACCUCUCGCGAUUGGAUGAGCCGAUGUCGGAUUAGCUAGUUGGCGGGGUAAUGGCCCACCAAGGCGACGAUCCGUAGCUGGUCUGAGAGGAUGAUCAGCCACACUGGAACUGAGACACGGUCCAGACUCCUACGGGAGGCAGCAGUGGGGAAUAUUGGACAAUGGGCGCAAGCCUGAUCCAGCCAUACCGCGUGGGUGAAGAAGGCCUUCGGGUUGUAAAGCCCUUUUGUUGGGAAAGAAAUCUUUCAGGCUAAUAUCCUGGGAGGAUGACGGUACCCAAAGAAUAAGCACCGGCUAACUUCGUG
This 489-nucleotide ribosomal RNA is filed under the name uncultured bacterium. RNAcentral's name for it is "partial 16S ribosomal RNA". It matches the Rfam family "Bacterial small subunit ribosomal RNA", at positions 29 to 507 of the family's 1533-position model. The record is from RNAcentral.